AGUGAACGCUGGCGGUAGGCCUAACACAUGCAAGUCGAACGGCAGCACAGUAAGAGCUUGCUCUUACGGGUGGCGAGUGGCGGACGGGUGAGGAAUACAUCGGAAUCUACUUUUUCGUGGGGGAUAACGUAGGGAAACUUACGCUAAUACCGCAUACGACCUACGGGGGAAAGCAGGGGAUCUUCGGACCUUGCGCGAUUGAAUGAGCCGAUGUCGGAUUAGCUAGUUGGCGGGGUAAAGGCCCACCAAGGCGACGAUCCGUAGCUGGUCUGAGAGGAUGAUCAGCCACACUGGAACUGAGCCACGGUCCAGACUCCUACGGGAGGCAGCAGUGGGGAAUAUUGGACAAUGGGCGCAAGCCUGAUCCAGCCAUACCGCGUGGGUGAAGAAGGCCUUCGGGUUGUAAAGCCCUUUUGUUGGGAAAGAAAAGCAGCAGGUUAAUACCCCGCUGUUCUGACGGUACCCAAAGAAUAAGCACCGGCUAACUUCGUG
Molecule: ribosomal RNA, 492 nt
Filed under: uncultured bacterium
Lineage: Bacteria
Description: partial 16S ribosomal RNA
Rfam family: Bacterial small subunit ribosomal RNA
Source: RNAcentral